This is a long non-coding RNA of Vanessa tameamea, 528 nucleotides long. RefSeq lists it as uncharacterized. Lineage: Eukaryota; Metazoa; Arthropoda; Insecta; Lepidoptera; Nymphalidae. The transcript is spliced from 4 exons. The record is from RefSeq and is a predicted model, not a curated record.
UGCUCCGGUCAUGUUCUUAUCUCGGAGUUUAGUCAGUUUGUACUUUAGAACUUUCUCUCGAUUUUAUUUAAUUGAAAUGAAAGUGCAUGCUAUAAUGUUAUCAAACAAUUCAUAUUUUACCAUGGGUGGCUUUGCAGACUACCUCGGCAGGCAGCAAGUAACAUAUCUAUGUGUCCCUGGCUGAUUGACUUCAAUUGUUGACAGAACAAAGUCGCGAAUGAAACAAUUUGAAAGUCUUCGCACUCGUGAUGUCUGUCCAGUGGAAACAUUCAGUAUUGAAGGAAUGCUUCACUUCACUAUGUGCGAUUGCCGCUUGUAAUGUUGAGUUGAGUUGAAUUAUAAGUUAAAUUAAACGCUCACCGCACGUCACUGAUAAAUGUGUUUAUUUUUAUUUACAAGCUGUACCCUCAGCUUCAUCGCGCGGAAUUUAGUUUGUCGCUAUAAAAGUACUUACAUAGUGAAAUGCAAUGUCUACUCUAGAUAAAUUAGAUUUUUUACUGCGAAAGAAUUAUUAAAAUCAGUUCAAUA